UGGAUCACCUCCUAACAGGGAGACGACAAAAUGUUUAAUAUUAUUAUUUUGUCACCUUAGGUCGAUCGGUAUCUCACGUUUUUAAUUUAUUAAGAAUUUCAUUUCCUAAGUUUUUCUAGGUCACACCCAUUAUUUUUCCUGGGCCAUUAGCUCAGGUGGUUAGAGCGCACCCCUGAUAAGGGUGAGGUCCCUGGUUCAAGUCCAGGAUGGCCCAUAUCUCUAUGUUGGGGGUAUAGCUCAGUUGGUAGAGCGCCUGCUUUGCAAGCAGGAUGUCAGCGGUUCGAGUCCGCUUACCUCCACUGAUUACCACCUCUUCCAUAACCGGUAGAAAGGAAAUGUUUUGAGUCGUGAUCAAAUUCUGAAAGAAUCUAGCUUCCUAAUGAAAUCAUUAAGAUGCUGGACUCAUUGAAUUAAUUCCAUUGUUUUCAGAGAACCUUGACAACUGCAUAGAUUAUUUUUUAAAGACAAUAAGCAUCUUUAAUGAUGCAGAUUUAUUAUUUGUGCGAAUGCAUUAAUAACAAUUCUAUUAAGCUGAUGCUUCAAUUUUUGAAGUUAUUGGUCAAGCUACAAAGGGCUCACGGAGGAUACCUAGGCACACAGAGGCGAUGAAGG
This 612-nucleotide transfer RNA is filed under the name uncultured Prochlorococcus sp. Its description in RNAcentral is "partial contains 16S ribosomal RNA, 16S-23S ribosomal RNA intergenic spacer, and 23S ribosomal RNA". The stretch from base 227 to 299 matches the Rfam family "tRNA". Lineage: Bacteria; Bacillati; Cyanobacteriota; Cyanophyceae; Synechococcales; Prochlorococcaceae. The record is from RNAcentral.